Molecule: unclassified non-coding RNA, 404 nt
Filed under: soil metagenome
Description: partial contains 5.8S ribosomal RNA, internal transcribed spacer 2, and large subunit ribosomal RNA
Rfam family: 5.8S ribosomal RNA (bases 1-121)
Source: RNAcentral
GAUGAAGAACGUAGCGAAAUGCGAUAAGUAAUGUGAAUUGCAGAAUUCAGUGAAUCAUCGAAUCUUUGAACGCACCUUGCGCCCUUUGGCUAUUCCGAAGGGCAUGCCUGUUUGAGUAUCAUGAACACCUCAACUCUCAUGGUUUGCCAUGAUGAGCUUGGACUUUGGGGGUCUUGCCGGCCUAUGGGUCGGCUCCUCUCAAAUUAAUCAGCUUGCCAGUGUUUGGUGGCAUCACAGGUGUGAUAACUAUCUACGCUUGUGGUUUUCCAUCAGAUAACCUUCAGUGAUGGAGGUUCGCUGGGGCUCAUAAAUGUCUCUCCUCAGUGAGGACAGCUUUUUUGAACGUUUGAUCUCAAAUCAGGUAGGACUACCCGCUGAACUUAAGCAUAUCAAUAAGCGGAGGA